RNA transcript from Oryzias latipes (Japanese medaka), 2057 nucleotides. RefSeq lists it as uncharacterized. The record is from RefSeq and is a predicted model, not a curated record. NCBI's taxonomy places the organism in Eukaryota, Metazoa, Chordata, Actinopteri, Beloniformes, Adrianichthyidae.
UCCUGCAACAAUGGGAUUGGUGAAAGAAAAAGCAAUUGUCCUCUAGGGCUCAGACACUCAUGAAAUUAAUCUAUUAUCUUCCUGUGCAGCUGCCAUAUACGAUACAAGGUGCUUGACAAUUCCCUGUGCCAUUACAAGUCUGUGACAUUUGCUCAUUCACUAAGCUCGCUGACACCAACAGGAUCUGGCCUUGCUGCUAAAUUAAGGCAACGAGUGGGGAAAUGAGAGCAGUCGCAUCGGCCUGGAAGAGCUUGUGAGGCUGGAUGGAUUACCCCUUUUGUUUGAAGACCUAACCUAAGCACCUUGCCCGUGGGCUUUUUAUCAGCUACAGCUGAAAAACACCUUCAGGAGGGAGAUGGUGAUAUAACAACAACCAGUCGUAAUAGUGUGACAAGGCUGUGCUGUCCUUGCACAACUCUUGACUCUCCUCCUGCCUUCUCUACUAUCCUUACUCCUCUAUUCUGCACCACACUGGAUCUUCUAUCUUAAGCUCUGUCGAGGUGGGAACGGGCAUACUUUAAAUGCCUGUCACCCAGUGUCACAAUAGCAGCUCCACAUAGGGUGUCCAGUGUCAAAACACAGGUUGGGUUCUGUCAAGGGCAAAAUGAAUUUUUUGGAGAAAGAAAGGUUGAAAAGGAGAGAGAAAGAAAGCAGAGAAAGGAUAUAUUAUGGUGGAUGCUGAAUAACCGGAAGGUUUAAAGAUGUUUCACACAAUGCAAGGAGAAACGGGGUGAGGGGUGGAAGUAAUGGAAGAGUACUAAAGUGCUGGGCUGCUGGCACAAGCGUAUGGAUAGCAGCUGUCAAACAAGCAAGGUUUUGUGUAUUUAUUGUUAGUAUGCUUAAAGAGAUAGUGAAGGUCAGGCCAUGUGUCUGCUCUGUAGCUUUGUUAUGCGAGCUGGAUCAAUUUAUGAAAUAUGUCAACAAUGCAGCAGAUGCAAUCUUUCUCUUUGUCACAAGUUCUCUUUUACGCUGAUUUUUCUUUUUUAUUGUUUGUCUUCCUGUCUUUGUUGCUCCGAAGACCCAGGUCAUCACUGCUUAAACAACUGUGCUAAAGAAUAAGCGCUUGGCAGAUGGGAGAGACUGUGGCUUGGAUCACCGUAGUGAAACCAGACCUUACAUCCAUUUCCUUGGCCAGUGGAAUCAGUGUUACCAUCUAAAUACCCAGGAUCUGCUAGGGUCGCCACAGCGAAUGAGUCGCAUGGUAAACUUGGCAAUGUUUUACGCCGGAUGCCCUUCCUGACGCAACCCUCUCAAAGCAACUGGACUUUGGACCGGCACAGAAUUAGAGAAGGGAACAGGGAGCAGCACGGAGUCGAACCCCGGUUUCACGGACGGAAGGCGCCGCAAACCAGCACGAGCUAAACCGGCUCCCCCAAAUCCAACCGGCCUAUACCCAUAUAAAAUUGUUUCUAAAUGAGAUAAAUUAUUUAUAUCAAUCUUGGAAAAGACUACUGAUUGACGCGUUGCCGGUUUAUUUUACUAUAACGUGAAAAGAAGCAGUACCAUCACACCGGACAACACACAUGUGAGAACAGCAAAAAAUGAUCAAUCCAUCAUUACAGUCCAAUGUGUGGAAACACUUUGAAUUUAUCAAAGAAAAUUUAGCAUACAAUGUGCUAGAAUGUUCUAGUAAUGUUCUGUUUAGAUUAUUUUGAUGUGGAAAAACAACAAUGGACUAAACUGUAUGAAACUAAAAUGUGAUUGGAUUUUUCAUUAAUUCUUUUUAUUUUGUUUGUUUGUACAUAUAUUAAGUUUGCACGUGUUGUUUUAAUUUGUCAAUUAAAACCUGUGGAAGAAAGUGAUUUGAAAGAGAUGCAAGAAUGAAACAUAUUUGAAAUGGCCCUUUGUAUCCCAACAGAACUUAAUUCUGAGUUGACUUUGAGGCUUCAAUCGGAUGUCUACAUUUUCAUAUUUGUUAAAUAAAAAAAUGUCACAAAACUUGCCACUAUGCAAAUACUGCUUUAUGCUUGACCAAAUACCUCAUAUUUGUCUGUGUUUUAACUCUAUGACACAAAACCUACACCGGGGUGUGUCAGUAUGCAGGUGUUAUGCUUUCU